Non-coding RNA from Nomascus leucogenys (northern white-cheeked gibbon), 612 nucleotides. The record is from RefSeq and is a predicted model, not a curated record. NCBI's taxonomy places the organism in Eukaryota, Metazoa, Chordata, Mammalia, Primates, Hylobatidae.
UUGGGUGCUGCUCUGAGCAGCAUCACCCUUUACACCAGAAAGCUGGCGGGCACUAUGGGGAAAAAACAAAACAAGAAGAAAGUGGAGGAAGUGCUAGAAGAGGAGGAAGAGGAAUAUGUGGUGGAAAAAGUUCUCGACUGUGGAGUGGUAAAGGGCAAAGUGGAGUACCUCCUAAAGUGGAAGGGGUUCUCAGAUGAGGAUAACACAUGGGAGCCAAAAGAGAACCUGGAUUGCCUCGAACUCAUUGCUGAGUUUCUGCAGUCACAGAAAACAGCACAUGAGACAGAUAAAUCAGAGGGAGGCAAGCGCAAAGCUGAUUCUGAUUCUGAAGAUAAGGGAGAGGAGAGCAAACCAAAGAAGAAGAAAGAAGAGUCAGAAAAGCCACGAGGCUUUGCUCGAGGUUUGGAGCCGGAGCGGAUUAUUGGAGCUACAGACUCCAGUGGAGAGCUCAUGUUCCUGAUGAAAUGGAAAAACUCUGAUGAGGCUGACCUGGUCCCUAACAAGGAAGCCAAUGUCAAGUGCCCACAGGUUGUCAUAUCCUUCUAUGAAGAAAGGAUGACAUGGCAUUCCUACCCCUUGGAGGAUGAUGACAAAAAAGAUGACAAGAAUUAA